CAAUUUCGACUACAUGUAUAUCGAAAUACAUCAAAUAGACUUUUUUGUAAUAUGUAAAUUCACUGAGUGAUAUAGAUUCUUAAAACUCAAAUUUCAGCAGUAUAUUAAUUUUUUUCGAUUGAGACACUGAGAGUGUAACAAACACAGGGAUUUUUGUCCCACCUCUGUUUUUUUUUUGAUGAAUUUCGUCUGUAAAUUUUUUG
RNAcentral lists this long non-coding RNA (203 nucleotides) under Mytilus galloprovincialis (Mediterranean mussel). Lineage: Eukaryota; Metazoa; Mollusca; Bivalvia; Mytilida; Mytilidae. The record is from RNAcentral.